UACGGAGGGUGCGAGCGUUCAUCGGAAUUACUGGGCGUAAAGGGCGCGUAGGCGGCUGAUCAAGUCAGGUGUGAAAGCCCACGGCUUAACCGUGUGAAGUGCAUCUGAAACUGGUCGGCUUGAGUAUCGGAGAGGAAAGUGGAAGUCCCGGUGUAGAGGUGAAAUUCGUAGAUAGCGGGAGGAAUACCGGUGGCGAAGGCGACUUUCUGGAAGAAUACUGACGCGGAGGCGCGAACGCGGGGGGCGCCAACAGGAUUCGAUCCCACGGGAGUCC
Molecule: ribosomal RNA, 274 nt
Filed under: uncultured bacterium
Lineage: Bacteria
Description: partial 16S ribosomal RNA
Rfam family: Bacterial small subunit ribosomal RNA
Source: RNAcentral